GACGAACGCUGGCGGCGUGCCUAAUACAUGCAAGUAGAACGCACAGGAUGCACCGUAGUUUACUACACCGUAUUCUGUGAGUUGCGAACGGGUGAGUAACGCGUAGGUAACCUGCCUGGUAGCGGGGGAUAACUAUUGGAAACGAUAGCUAAUACCGUAUAAGAACAUUUACUGCAUGGUAGAUGUUUAAAAGGUGCAAGAGCAUCACUACCAGAUGGACCUGCGUUGUAUUAGCUAGUUGGUGAGGUAACGGCUCACCAAGGCAACGAUACAUAGCCGACCUGAGAGGGUGAUCGGCCACACUGGGACUGAGACACGGCCCAGACUCCUACGGGAGGCAGCAGUAGGGAAUCUUCGGCAAUGGGGGGAACCCUGACCGAGCAACGCCGCGUGAGUGAAGAAGGUUUUCGGAUCGUAAAGCUCUGUUGUUAAGGAAGAACGUGUGUGAGAGUGGAA
RNAcentral lists this ribosomal RNA (456 nucleotides) under Streptococcus constellatus. RNAcentral's name for it is "bacterial SSU rRNA". It matches the Rfam family "Bacterial small subunit ribosomal RNA", at positions 28 to 466 of the family's 1533-position model. Lineage: Bacteria; Bacillati; Bacillota; Bacilli; Lactobacillales; Streptococcaceae. The record is from RNAcentral.